Molecule: ribosomal RNA, 482 nt
Filed under: uncultured bacterium
Lineage: Bacteria
Description: partial 16S ribosomal RNA
Rfam family: Bacterial small subunit ribosomal RNA
Source: RNAcentral
AUUGAACGCUGGCGGCAUGCUUUACACAUGCAAGUCGAACGGUAACAGGCCGCAAGGUGCUGACGAGUGGCGCACGGGUGAGUAAUGCAUCGGAACGUGCCCAGUCGUGGGGGAUAACUACUCGAAAGAGUAGCUAAUACCGCAUACGAUCUAUGGAUGGAAGCGGGGGACCGUAAGGCCUCGCGCGAUUGGAGCGGCCGAUGUCAGAUUAGGUAGUUGGUGGGGUAAAGGCUCACCAAGCCAACGAUCUGUAGCUGGUCUGAGAGGACGACCAGCCACACUGGGACUGAGACACGGCCCAGACUCCUACGGGAGGCAGCAGUGGGGAAUUUUGGACAAUGGGCGCAAGCCUGAUCCAGCAAUGCCGCGUGCAGGAAGAAGGCCUUCGGGUUGUAAACUGCUUUUGUACGGAACGAAACGGCUCUGGUUAAUACCCGGGGCUAAUGACGGUACCGUAAGAAUAAGCACCGGCUAACUACGUG